Molecule: ribosomal RNA, 484 nt
Filed under: uncultured bacterium
Lineage: Bacteria
Description: partial 16S ribosomal RNA
Rfam family: Bacterial small subunit ribosomal RNA
Source: RNAcentral
AUUGAACGCUGGCGGCAGGCCUAACACAUGCAAGUCGAGCGGAUGAAGGGAGCUUGCUCCUGGAUUCAGCGGCGGACGGGUGAGUAAUGCCUAGGAAUCUGCCUGGUAGUGGGGGAUAACGUCCGGAAACGGGCGCUAAUACAGCAUACGUCCUGAGGGAGAAAGUGGGUGAUCUUCGGACCUCACGCUAUCAGAUGAGCCUAGGUCGGAUUAGCUAGUUGGUGGGGUAAAGGCCUACCAAGGCGACGAUCCGUAACUGGUCUGAGAGGAUGAUCAGUCACACUGGAACUGAGACACGGUCCAGACUCCUACGGGAGGCAGCAGUGGGGAAUAUUGGACAAUGGGCGAAAGCCUGAUCCAGCCAUGCCGCGUGUGUGAAGAAAGUCUUCGGAUUGUAAAGCACUUUAAGUUGGGAGGAAGGGCAGUAAGUUAAUACCUUGCUGUUUUGACGUUACCAACAGAAUAAGCACCGGCUAACUUCGUG